CAGUGUUACAACUCUUUUAGAAUUUGUCUAGCAGGUUUUCUGGUCUUUACGGAAAAGCCCCA
Molecule: small nuclear RNA, 62 nt
Filed under: Colobus angolensis palliatus
Lineage: Eukaryota; Metazoa; Chordata; Mammalia; Primates; Cercopithecidae
Description: U7 small nuclear RNA (ENSCANG00000009782.1)
Rfam family: U7 small nuclear RNA
About the family: Animal histone pre-mRNAs are spliced by a different mechanism than nuclear pre-mRNAs and self-splicing introns. This processing involves the U7 snRNP, which contains only one RNA species: U7.
Source: Rfam by way of RNAcentral